This 465-nucleotide ribosomal RNA is filed under the name uncultured bacterium. RNAcentral describes it as "partial 16S ribosomal RNA". It matches the Rfam family "Bacterial small subunit ribosomal RNA", at positions 28 to 504 of the family's 1533-position model. The record is from RNAcentral.
GACGAACGCUGGCGGCGUGCUUAACACAUGCAAGUCGAACGGAAAGGCCCUGCUUUUGUGGGGUGCUCGAGUGGCGAACGGGUGAGUAACACGUGAGUAACCUGCCCUUGACUUUGGGAUAACUUCAGGAAACUGGGGCUCAUACCGGAUAGGAGCUCCUGCUGCAUGGUGGGGGUUGGAAAGUUUCGGCGGUUGGGGAUGGACUCGCGGCUUAUCAGCUUGUUGGUGGGGUAGUGGCUUACCAAGGCUUUGACGGGUAGCCGGCCUGAGAGGGUGACCGGCCACAUUGGGACUGAGAUACGGACCAGACUACUACGGGAGGCAGCAGUGGGGAAUAUUGCACAAUGGGCGGAAGCCUGAUGCAGCAACGCCGCGUGCGGGAUGACGGCCUUCGGGUUGUAAACCGCUUUCGCCUGUGACGAAGCGUGAGUGACGGUAAUGGGUAAAGAAGCACCGGCUAACUAC